AACCGGAGGAAGGUGGGGAUGACGUCAAGUCAGCAUGCCCCUUACGCCUUGGGCUACACACGUACUACAAUGCCCCGGACAAAGGGAGGCUACACAGCGAUGUGAUGCAAAUCUCGUAAACCGGAGCUCAGUUCAGAUCGAAGGCUGCAACUCGCCUUCGUGAAGGAAGGAAUCGCUAGUAAUUGCAGGUCAGCAUACUGCAGUGAAUUCGUUCCCGGGCAUUGUACACACCGCCCGUCACACCAUGGAAGUUGGUCACGCCCGAAGUCAUUACCCCAACC
Molecule: ribosomal RNA, 281 nt
Filed under: uncultured cyanobacterium
Lineage: Bacteria; Bacillati; Cyanobacteriota
Description: partial 16S ribosomal RNA
Rfam family: Bacterial small subunit ribosomal RNA
Source: RNAcentral